Molecule: unclassified non-coding RNA, 495 nt
Filed under: Hevea brasiliensis (rubber tree)
Lineage: Eukaryota; Viridiplantae; Streptophyta; Magnoliopsida; Malpighiales; Euphorbiaceae
Source: RNAcentral
UAUUUUGUCAAGAUGGAACUAGUUGAAUAUAGUCUGCGCAGCAGUUUAAUGUAUCUAAAUGAAAUCGUCAAAAAAUAAGCCAUUGGAAGAGGUUUUGGAUACAGAGUUUGCACUCUGUGGACUAAAGAAUCAAUCCAUCCAAAGAAAAAGGGAAAAAAGAUCUGAGAAUCCUUGUUGAACAAAAUUCUCAACAUUUCAUCACAGAAGUUAAAAUUUUCAAGCAUUAUUAUGCUUAAUUUGAUUCCACACUUGCAAUAUAUUUCAAUCUUUUUCCUGGCAUUGUAGCUGCUAUUCAAUCUCAUGAGAAUUAAACUCGUCAAGAAUGUAAAGGCAACACUUCCAAAUCCACUAAACUAAAGAAAAUUUAAAUUGAUGAGUGGAAUGUGACAUAAAGAUUAGUAGGGAAAGCAACAGAUAUAUAAUUAUAUGACCUUUACCAGGUUUAUAAAUUAAAACAUGAUUAAAUUCUUACAUUGACAAAAGAAGAAGUUGGAA